GCUAGUGAAGACCAAGUCAAGGAAGCAACGUCAUCGGCAUACUGGGGAGUAUUUAAGGGCUUCUCAGUUGGGAUCUUCGGAUCUACUCUAUUAUUGUCAGCCGCUCACUAUGGGGGAGUUCAGUGGGUACGAAAAUUGAAUGCUCCUGCGAGAGUGUUUAUCUGUGCCGCAUCGUCAUUACUAGGAGCGGUUAUACAAGGGGAACGAGAAAUGAAAAAAUACUCAGUUGCUCACUGGCCGCAACCGGCUUGGCUUAAAGAACCAAUAAAAGAAUCAAAAUAAAUUAUGUUAAACCAUAUUAUUGCCUAGGUGCAAAAUAUAAAGUUCUAUCCCUUCUUGUAUUUUCAAUUAUGUAAAUAAAUUUAAAUUGCUUAACAA
This is a long non-coding RNA of Zophobas morio, 378 nucleotides long. RefSeq lists it as uncharacterized. The transcript has 4 exons. Lineage: Eukaryota; Metazoa; Arthropoda; Insecta; Coleoptera; Tenebrionidae. The record is from RefSeq and is a predicted model, not a curated record.